AUUAAAGAAAUAUUGCGAUUUAAUAGACAUUAUUAAAUUGCUUAUGAAUGGCAUUUUCAUGCAAUAUCAAUUUUGUUGCAUAUUAGAUAAAAUGUGUUUUAAAUUUGAACCUGCCAUUACUAGAUAGUCAGUUAGAUGGCACGACGAUGCACGUUUUCGCGUUAAAUAUUGCUUGUCGGUGGUAGUGAGUGCACACCGUGUCCGUGUGCAAUCACGCGAUUUCGCGCAAGAGAUAAGUUUGUUUACCUGCAGAUAUCGAAUUUUUAUUUCGUGGAAUCAAAACACACCGUUGCUGUUUGUUAUAUUUGCAUCGUAAAUAAGCAAAUAUUCUUCAAUUCUUUCAUGAAUAUAACUAACAGUUUUAUAUUAAUUUUUAGUUUAUUAUAAAAAUCAUCAAGAAUGCAAAACAUUUUUAUUAUCAGCAGAUCACUUAAGCAGAUAUCACUUAAAUAUUUUAUGUAAAAUCUUGCACUCUGUCAGCAUAAGAAAUCAGAAUUAGACGAAUCGAAUUUUAGUUUUUCAUUACUUUUUAAUAAUCUAAAUUUUGAAACUACUGUAUCAUUCAUAGAUGGCCCUAGCAUGACCUAAAAAUCGUAAAGUAGAUUUGUAUUGCUUAUUUCUAUAUAAUUAUCGGCAAGCGAUAUUGUAGAUUUUUAAGUAUAACACGCGAACGCGGUCUUAAAGUGAUUUCGGAUUAAUUUUCCCAGAUGCGUAAUUUAAUUCUUUAUUUCCCUGUAUCGAUAUUUAUUGCGAGAAAAUUCCGUAACGCGAGUUAUAUUGAUAGUUGUGUGUAUACUCAUAUACGCAAUAGUACUCGUUGCGCUAGUAAUUGUAGUUUUUUUAUUAUAACACGCGAACGCCGUCUUAAACUAAGUUUGGAAUAAUUUUCCCAGAUGCGGAAUUUAAUUCUUUAUUUCCCUGUAUCGAUAUUUAUUGCGAGAAAAUUCCGUAACGCGAGUUAUAUUGAUAGUUGUGUGUAUACUCAUAUACGCAAUAGUACUCGUUGCGCUAGGAAUUGUAGUUUUUUUAUUAUAACACGCGAACGCCGUCUUAAACUAAGUUUGGAAUAAUUUUCCCAGAUGCGGAAUUUAAUUCUUUAUUUCCCUGUAUCGAUAUUUAUUGCGAGAAAAUUCCGUAACGCGAGUUAUAUUGAUAGUUGUGUGUAUACUCAUAUACGCAAUAGUACUCGUUGCGCUAGGAAUUGUAGUUUUUUUAUUAUAACACGCGAACGCCGUCUUUAAACUAACUUUGGAAUAAUUUUCCCAGAUGCGGAAUUUAAUUCUUUAUUUCCCUGUAUCGAUAUUUAUUGCGAGAAAAUUCCGUAACGCGAGUUAUAUUGAUAGUUGUGUGUAUACGCAAUAGUACUCGUUGCGCUAGGAAUUGUAGUUUUUUUAUUAUAACACGCGAACGCCGUCUUAAACUAAGUUUGGAAUAAUUUUCCCAGAUGCGGAAUUUAAUUCUUUAUUUCCCUGUAUCGAUAUUUAUUGCGAGAAAAUUCCGUAACGCGAGUUAUAUUGAUAGUUGUGUGUAUACGCAAUAGUACUCGUUGCGCUAGGAAUUGUAGUUUUUUUAUUAUAACACGCGAACGCGGUCUUAAACUAAGUUCGGAAUAAUUUUCCCAGAUGCGGAAUUUAAUUCUUUAUUUCCCUGUAUCGAAAUUUAUUGCGAGAAAAUUCCGUAACGCGAGUUAUAUUGAUAGUUGUGUGUAUACGCAAUAGUACUCGUUGCGCUAGGAAUUGUAGUUUUUUUAUUAUAACACGCGAACGCCGUCUUAAACUAAGUUCGGAAUAAUUUUCCCAGAUGCGGAAUUUAAUUCUUUAUUUCCCUGUAUCGAAAUUUAUUGCGAGAAAAUUCCGUAACGCGAGUUAUAUUGAUAGUUGUGUGUAUACGGAAUUGUACUUUUUUAAUAUUGUAACACGCGAACGCGGUCUUAGACUAAGUUCGGAUUAUUUUUCCCAGUUGCGGAAUUUAACUCUUUAUUUCUUUGUAUCGAAAUUUAUUGUGAGAAAAUUCCUUAACGCGAGUUAUAAUGAUAGUUGUGUUUAUUCGCAUAUACGCAGUAGUUUCGUUAGUAUAACGCGCGAACCGAAUGCGCUGAAAUUAACAACUGAUUAUAUUUUUUGAAUUAUUAUAUUUUACUUUAUUUUAGUGUACUUCAAAAAUGUGCUAUUUCUAUUCUACACGCAUAUCGGGGUUUGUGUAUAAACAAGUUUUUAUAUCGCUAUAAACGUGCGCAGUUCUGCCUCUCAUGCUACUAACAUUCGACCGCUUCAGUCUGUUCUUACCUGCACGCGGCUCGGCAUCAUUCUUUCAUUUAUUCCGAUUACAUUACAUUUUAUUAUUGAUUAAAAAUAAGCAUUUCUAACGGCACCUAAUGACAACAGACAUGUAGAUUGUUUUGCUAAGGAUGAUUUGUGCGUAAAAUGAUUGUAAAACUGGUGUUUCCAUGUGCGUGUCGGCUAUUGGAUUAUUUCGAUGUUGAGAAUUGGAAUUAGAAAUAUGUAUCCUAUUCGUAAUUUUAAUACUUUCUAUGAUUACCUGAUGCACUGGUAAGUUUGUAAACGUUAUUACAUUAUACUUUCAUAUUUAUCUAAAAUUGCAUGUAACGUGAAUACCGUAACAACACAAAAUUGAUGCGUGCCGUCGGAUGCGACUUGGAUCUACCCGCAGAGUAUGGUCAUGUCAAUCAUCGGUUUAAUAACGUGAAAUUUUCCUUGCUCGCAUUUUUAUUUCAUAAAUCUGCAGGCUGUUUAACGUAUUUUCGUAGUUUGGCAAUUAAUUAUUGAGAGUAAUAUAUUUGUAAAAGACGAUUUAAUUUUCUUCCGCGUGUGUGCUUGAGUUGCCGUCGGCGGACACAUUUUGCCUUGCUUGUGGCGUAUCUGGAGAAGCUUCGCAAGGCAAAUUUCAAGAUCGCAAUAAAAUUCAUAUUGAUGUUUUAUUUAUUCACAACUCUAGCUGCUCUACCUUUCCAUUUCUUGAUAUUCUGAGAGAAACAGGUAUUAGUUUAAAUUUUCUUGUUGUGUCACCUUCUAAUUAUGAAUGAAAUUCUCUGCAUCGAAAAUUUUGAAUUUUCUAAUAAAAUGUAGCGACUGACUAAACUGACUAAAUUGGUCGUUUCUGGGUCGUUUUCUACCUAAACUUUGUAUCUUAUUUUUAAUUUUAGGAAUUUCCUGUUUGUAUCACCCUGUAUGUUUGUUUUUCUUGACUUCCUAUUAUAAGUUUUCUAAAUUUGGUAUUCCCGACUGUUUCCUUCUUUGUACUAUUGAUUUUCUUUUUGUAACACCCUGUAUAUUUGUUUUCCUUAAUUUCCUAUGAAAAACUGUCGACAUUUAGUGUUUCCUAAUAUUUUCUAUCUUGAACUCGGCAUUUUCUUUUGUGAUGUAGUAAAUUCCUGUUUGCAGCACCCUGUAUAUUUGUUUUCCUUGUUGUCCGUGAAAAUUUAGCAUUAGUUGUUGUUUUAGGUUUUUCUUCUUUGCAUUUUGAAUUUUCUAUUUGUAACACCCUGUAUAUUUGUUUUCCUGAUUGUCGGUGAAAACGAGCGUUUGUAAUGUUUAGAGGUUUUCGUUUGCACUUAUAAUUUUCUUUUUGUAACUCCCUGUAUAUUUGUUCCCAUUUUCACUCAUGUAGAAAAUGGUCUAUUUUCUAAUUUCUUUAUCCCGGUAGUACUUUGCGAAGUGCAACUUGCUUGCAUGUGCGCGGCUAUGCAGGUCGUAAGUCUUGUUUCAAUAUGGCGACAUGUAUUCUGUUGACUUGUAAAAUAUAUACUUGUAUUCUAUUGUUAAUAAAUGAAUAGUAAGA
Dalotia coriaria is the source of this 3798-nucleotide long non-coding RNA. RefSeq lists it as uncharacterized. The transcript is spliced from 2 exons. Lineage: Eukaryota; Metazoa; Arthropoda; Insecta; Coleoptera; Staphylinidae. The record is from RefSeq and is a predicted model, not a curated record.